Molecule: long non-coding RNA, 258 nt
Organism: Balaenoptera ricei (Rice's whale)
Lineage: Eukaryota; Metazoa; Chordata; Mammalia; Artiodactyla; Balaenopteridae
Exons: 3
Source: RefSeq, a predicted model, not a curated record
UUGGAAGUCCCUGGGGCACAAAGUAGAGACGCCACCCAGCCCAGCCUAGGCCAGAUGGGCCCAUGAGGACCCCAGACGUCAUUCAGUUCUUACUGAUCUUUUGGGAACAGCACCCAAGUAGAAGCUCCAUGUUUGGUUGAGCCUGUGCCUGCCUGCGUGUGCCCACGGAUGCCCAUGAUCUCGUGCCCAUAGUAUCCAGAGCUUGUCUUUCCUGGAGGAAUGCAUUAUGACCUCAUCUCAGAUAAGGGAAAAUUAAUU